Lonchura striata (white-rumped munia) is the source of this 994-nucleotide non-coding RNA. Lineage: Eukaryota; Metazoa; Chordata; Aves; Passeriformes; Estrildidae. The record is from RefSeq and is a predicted model, not a curated record.
CGUGACAUUCCUCAGCAAGCACCAGCACAAGGAAGGGAUGAGAUGUGCACAACUGUGAUGGCAAGGCCCAAGGUUGGCAGUGCAGUCCCUCAGUGUGAGCUGCUGGGAUCAGCAUGGUGUCUGGUGGAAAACUGUUCAAUUUGCUGCAUCUGUAAAACUGCUUUAGUCCUGGAUUCCUCCUUGGACCUGGCACUUGCCUGUGCACACACAGACAUCAGAGAUUUGGAACGAGAUCAUCUUUAAGGUUGCUCCCAACCCAAGCAUUUCUGUGAUCUGGUGGUGGUGGUGAAGCCAAGGAUGUGCCUUCAGUGAUGGACAUGGAAAAGACACCACCCAGUCAGCUCAUCCUGCCAACAUUAUCAGCCCCUCCGAGCUCCUGCUGGAACAUGGAAACGCUCCCGGGUUUUUAAUUAAACACUGUCACAGCUAUAAAAAAAGAAUGUACAUCUUUUAAUAGCAACAUGAGAGCAGCCAAGAGCGAGCUACCUGGCCUCAGCCUUCCUGGUCACUUCACGUUGCAAGACACAGCUCUAUUUAAUUAAUUAUUUCGUUUCUUCGUUGCCAGCAAGGGUAAAUUAUGGAAGACUGGUCGAGGCACUGAAAAAAUAAGCAUCUUGCCACGACCUUGUUAUUUUAUCUCGCAGCUGGCAGUGCCAACUUUUCCUGCAUUUUUUAAAAUUUUUCUGUAUUUAAAUAAUUUCUGCUGAUACCCUGCUUCAUUCCUGUUCCAGAUCACGACGCUGGCGAUCGCUCCUUCGCACAGAACCCCGAUUAUUCCUGUUUUUUCCCCAAGUCCCGGCUCGCAGCCGGCCGGAUUUCCCAGGGCGCAGCGCCACCGCCUGCCCGCAGCCCUGCGCGCCCCAGUUCCAAAAACCCGGCUUUGCUCCUUGCUGCACCUUCUCCAUUUCACUGCCUCACACCUACAGCGAGAGGGACCCGUGGAUCAGAGAGUUCUGCGGGGCUUUGAGCGCGAAGGGACAUUAAAGAUUAUAUA